CUCGUAGGCGGCUGGUCGCGUCUGUCGUGAAAUCCUCUGGCUUAACUGGGGGCUUGCGGUGGGUACGGGCCGGCUUGAGUGCGGUAGGGGAGACUGGAACUCCUGGUGUAGCGGUGGAAUGCGCAGAUAUCAGGAAGAACACCGGUGGCGAAGGCGGGUCUCUGGGCCGUUACUGACGCUGAGGAGCGAAAGCGUGGGGAGCGAACA
This 207-nucleotide ribosomal RNA is filed under the name uncultured bacterium. RNAcentral's name for it is "partial 16S ribosomal RNA". It matches the Rfam family "Bacterial small subunit ribosomal RNA", at positions 568 to 774 of the family's 1533-position model. The record is from RNAcentral.